GGUGAACGCUGGCGGCGUGCCUAAUACAUGCAAGUCGAGCGAACGGACGAGAAGCUUGCUUCUCUGAUGUUAGCGGCGGACGGGUGAGUAACACGUGGAUAACCUACCUAUAAGACUGGGAUAACUUCGGGAAACCGGAGCUAAUACCGGAUAUUAUUUUGAACCGCAUGGUUCAAAAGUGAAAGACGGUCUUGCUGUCACUUAUAGAUGGAUCCGCGCUGCAUUAGCUAGUUGGUAAGGUAACGGCUUACCAAGGCAACGAUGCAUAGCCGACCUGAGAGGGUGAUCGGCCACACUGGAACUGAGACACGGUCCAGACUCCUACGGGAGGCAGCAGUAGGGAAUCUUCCGCAAUGGGCGAAAGCCUGACGGAGCAACGCCGCGUGAGUGAUGAAGGUCUUCGGAUCGUAAAACUCUGUUAUUAGGGAAGAACAUAUGCGUAAGUAACUGUGCACAUCUUGACGGUACCUAAUCAGAAAGCCACGGCUAACUACGUG
This 497-nucleotide ribosomal RNA is filed under the name uncultured bacterium. RNAcentral's name for it is "partial 16S ribosomal RNA". It matches the Rfam family "Bacterial small subunit ribosomal RNA", at positions 28 to 507 of the family's 1533-position model. The record is from RNAcentral.